This is a long non-coding RNA of Heterocephalus glaber (naked mole-rat), 1387 nucleotides long. The record is from Ensembl. NCBI's taxonomy places the organism in Eukaryota, Metazoa, Chordata, Mammalia, Rodentia, Bathyergidae.
GAGUGAUUUGUUAAUCCUAGGACACAUGCGCAGAACAGUUCCGGAAGCUCUGCACAGGUGCACAUGGACUUCUCGCGAGAACUUGAGCAGGUUUUCCAGAGGAUGGCCCAGCUAGAUCGGACGACAGCUAGAUCGGACGACAGCCAGAGGCAAGGGGAUUGAACUCAAGACCUUGCACUUCCGAAGCAGGCCAGGCCCUUCCACCAUGCCAUUUCCGCCUUGGAGCCAGCCAACCAUGGACUGAAACUUCAAAACCUGUGAGCCAGAAGAACCCUCUCCUCUUUCGAGUUGUGGGUGUCAGGUGUUGGGUCUCAGGAUGAAGAAAAUGACUGGGACACCAGAUGAGCAUUGCACAGGAGGUGAGCUGCUCCCAGCACCCAGGAGGAGGCUUCUGGGCCACCGUACCACCCCUCUCAGGGCACAGGAGGUGAGCCGCAAGAGCGCCAGCAACACCACCCCCCCAAAAUGAGAAGACAUGUAAACAAGUCUCAAAACCAGACUUCCAGAUCACCUAAAGCAACCUCAAAGGGAAACGAGAUGGAACACUCUGAUACUCAACCACCUGGACUCCUUGAACUGGCAACAAAAGAGGAUCUGGGAAAAAAUAAAAUCAGAAAUAAUUUCUCAUAUAACAGCAGAGAUUGUGCCCAUAGUGCAAGACAUGAUUAAUAAAUCUAGAGGAGACACAGAUAAAAAAAAAUAGAGGAACUGAGGAACAUGAUGGAAUCCCAACAUAGGAAACAAAUGCGAUCUAUAAAACAGAUACAAACAGAUUUCCAGGAGAUUAAAAACUCCAUUGAAAGCUUAUGCAGCAGAAUGAGCCAACGUGAGGACAAAAUUUCAGACAUAGACGAUAAGAUUGCAAUUAGAGACCAGGAAAAGACAAGUUGCUUUACAAUAGUAAGGGACCAUGAGAAAUCAAUCCAGCAGCUGCUAGAUGAUGCAAAGAAGAAUAACAAGAUUGAUUGGAGUCAAUGAAGAAACAGGAGAGAGUGCAGAUGACAUAAAAAAAUUGUUCACAGAAGUGAUGGCAGAAAACUUCCCAAGGAGAGGAAAAGAACUUGACAUACAGUUAAGUGAGGCAUAUAGGAUUCCAACUAGCCUUGAUCAAAAAAAUGUACACAUAGGCAUAUAAUUGUUAAGAUUCCAGAAACCCAACAGAAGAAAAAAUUCUACAAGCAGUGAGAGAAAAGAAACAAAUCACAUACAAAGAAAAGCCCAUCAGAAUCACAGUAGACUUCUCAAUACAAACCCUCAAGGCUAGAAGAGCUUGGAGUGACAUAUUCCAAGCCCUAAAGGAAAACAGCCUCCGACCCAGAUUGAUGUAUCCUGCAAAGCUAUCUUUCAAAAUUGAAGGAGAAAUAAGAUACUUUCAUGACAAAGAGCA